This 428-nucleotide transfer RNA is filed under the name Koenigia sp. LB0607. RNAcentral's name for it is "partial tRNA-Leu". The record is from RNAcentral. Lineage: Eukaryota; Viridiplantae; Streptophyta; Magnoliopsida; Caryophyllales; Polygonaceae.
GCAGAGACUCAAUGGAAGCUGUUCUAACAAAUGGAGUUGCCUCUCAGGCAUUGUGAUAUGUUAUAUGAAUUCUUCCAUAUAAACUUAAAAAGGGAUGAAGAAGAAACCUAUAGGCAUACGUACUUAAUUAUAAAUACUAUUAUUAUAAAUAGAAUAUUGAUGACGACCCGAAUCUUUAUUUUAUGAAUAUGAACAAAUAAAAUAAUUAUUAGGAAUUGAUUUCAUGUUGAAGAAAUAAUAGAAUAUUCGUUUCUUAAAAAAAAGUAUUUACUCCACAGUCUGCUAGAUCUUUUGAGGAACCAACCCGUUGGAUGAGAAUGAAGAUAGAGUCCCAUUCUACGUGUCAAUCUCGACAACAAUGAAAUUUAUAGUAAGAGGAAAAUCCGUCGAUUUUUAAAAUCGUGAGGGUUCAAGUCCCUCUAUCCCCA